AAGUAAUUUUUUAAUUAAAACAGUUGAGAAAGGACGAGUGUAGAUAUUGUAUGAACACGCUGCUGUAAUAAAUAAAAGAACGACAGAAAUUGUAUGGGAAUAUUAGACACAGGCAUUAAAGAAGAAACAAUACACUUUAUUCAGAAAUGGUCCCUCCUAGAUAAGGGCAAACCAUUUUUGAAUUAAACCCAAUUGGACAAGAAUUGUUAAAUAGACUGUGCAUAUUAUUCAAAUUUUUUUUUCUGAAUCUCGUUAGAGCUUUUUAAUAAGGUCUUUACAGUACUUUAUUUGCUCUUCAUCAGACAUGAAUUCGCAAUUUCUGAUAGCUGUACAAAUGAGGACCGUAGUAGAAAGAUUUUCAGAAUUGACCCAAACGCGACCAUUCAUUCCAACAGCAAUUUCGAAAGGAAUGUAGCUUCCUAGGGUCUGUAAAAGUGUAUUUUUAGGAAGGAUCAACUUCCUACAAUGAGAUAAAGAUAAACCUGUUAUCAUAUAACCGUUUUUAAGUUCACCAUAUCCUGCAGCUUUCCCUGUGGUAGCAUCGAAACAUUCUAACUCCGGUUCCAUAUCACGAUCAGCGAGUGAUACUCGAGCAUACACAAGGCUUCCAACAUUUAAAUUGGGCCUACUUUUACGAGUCACAUUUUCAAAAGCCAAUGCAUUCAAUUGAGCAAUAUGAGCUGACCCAAUAUCUACUCGAUAACCUUCCGCAAAUCUAGAAAUAAUUUGCCCAAUAACUUGAUCAUUUGUAGCAGGAAUAUAUCUUUUUGUCCGUGAGUCUAUCAACAUAGCAUUUUUUCCAGUUUGAUGCAACCUCCCAGCUUUUGAGACCACUAUUUCUUCUUCACGGUCUUUCUUUUGAAAGACUAAACCAGGACCUAAACGAAUUGAUCCAUCCUGACUAAUUAUGGAGUCUGGUAUCCGCUCACCAG
This is a non-coding RNA of Schizosaccharomyces pombe (fission yeast), 932 nucleotides long. The record is from the annotation of a GenBank genome assembly. NCBI's taxonomy places the organism in Eukaryota, Fungi, Ascomycota, Schizosaccharomycetes, Schizosaccharomycetales, Schizosaccharomycetaceae.